RNAcentral lists this ribosomal RNA (573 nucleotides) under Klebsiella pneumoniae. Its description in RNAcentral is "partial 23S ribosomal RNA". It matches the Rfam family "Bacterial large subunit ribosomal RNA", at positions 1179 to 1754 of the family's 2925-position model. Lineage: Bacteria; Pseudomonadati; Pseudomonadota; Gammaproteobacteria; Enterobacterales; Enterobacteriaceae. The record is from RNAcentral.
GGCUAAACCAUGCACCGAAGCUGCGGCAGCGACACUAUGUGUUGUUGGGUAGGGGAGCGUUCUGUAAGCCUGCGAAGGGGUGCUGUGAGGCAUGCUGGAGGUAUCAGAAGUGCGAAUGCUGACAUAAGUAACGAUAAAGCGGGUGAAAAGCCCGCUCGCCGGAAGACCAAGGGUUCCUGUCCAACGUUAAUCGGGGCAGGGUGAGUCGACCCCUAAGGCGAGGCCGAAAGGCGUAGUCGAUGGGAAACAGGUUAAUAUUCCUGUACUUGGUGUUACUGCGAAGGGGGGACGGAGAAGGCUAUGUUAGCCGGGCGACGGUUGUCCCGGUUUAAGCAUGUAGGCUGGUUGUCCAGGCAAAUCCGGAUAACCAAGGCUGAGGUGUGAUGACGAGGCACUACGGUGCUGAAGUAACAAAUGCCCUGCUUCCAGGAAAAGCCUCUAAGCAUCAGGUAACAUUAAAUCGUACCCCAAACCGACACAGGUGGUCAGGUAGAGAAUACCAAGGCGCUUGAGAGAACUCGGGUGAAGGAACUAGGCAAAAUGGUGCCGUAACUUCGGGAGAAGGCACGCUGG